This is a long non-coding RNA of Ostrea edulis (European flat oyster), 14464 nucleotides long. RefSeq lists it as uncharacterized. Lineage: Eukaryota; Metazoa; Mollusca; Bivalvia; Ostreida; Ostreidae. The record is from RefSeq and is a predicted model, not a curated record. The transcript has 9 exons.
ACUUUGGUGUUACCUGGUCGCUGAUAUGGGCUGGUAAAGUCGUGCGGUGUUGGCUGUGUACAUACAGUCACAAACAAAAUUGUUUUUCCCAGGUGAAAAUGUAUUUUUAACCUCCCAACACAUUUUAAAAAGAUGUUUCAGUGUGGGAAAAAGAAAAAAUUCUACAGCCUUACCCUAGACAGCCUUUUUGUCCUUGUUACUACUGAAAUCCAGAUGAGAUUCUAAACUGCCAACCAGGAAGUUGAAUUGUCAGCAGUGAUUCAGAGGAACAUACUUCACACAUUUGGAGUGUUGCAUGAGAACACAUGAAGAUAAAAUGGAAGAAUAGCACCCGGAGAUUGGAUUGUUCACCAUAUUUGAGCAGUUAAUCUGCUUAGUAUGUCUUUGAUAGAUUGCUUUAUAGAUUGAUGUGUGAAAUGUGACUUCACAUGUUCCUGUUCAUCUGUAACUCUCUGAAACCCACUACAUGAGCCAGAUUUUCUGCAGUUGACUGCUGAGACAGAUUUCCAUUUUUGCGGGGUCGGUUAAUGCUGUCUUGAUCAGGAUGAACUGCCCGACUAUAGGCUCCUUGGCUUUCAUGACGGGUCUCCUUGAGAAAGCUUCAAAGUCACUGCUGGAGUAUUUUGAUGUAUACUGAAACUAUAAAGAAGAGCAGAUGAACAGAUGCCUCAUAUUGAACCCACCUAUCUUCCAGAGAUGAACACAUUGAUAAUGUGACCAGGGGACAUGACAUCCUGAUGUGAUGAAUUAAAGACGCAAGAGGAGGAGAGCCGAGAUAUUAUUGGUUUUGGAGAUUGAUGUAAUGUGAGCUUGUGGGUCAUAUACACCAUAAAUCCCGGUAAAAAUGAAAGAGAAAAUUAUAGAUUAGACAUGAAAUGAUUUCAGGGUGAUUUUUCUUCCUUUGACAAAUUAAAUUCCUUGAAUUUCAUUGAGCUCAUUCAUUGGAACAUUGCAUGAUGAAAAAUAAUUUUGAGCAUUUGAAUUUUGUCCGACUUGAUAAAUGGAUGGCAUUUAAUUUUCGUAAAGAAACAACUAAAAUUUCACAGGUGGAUGAUCAGUAGCAUUUUUUUUUUUUAGGUAGGGCAAUUACAUGUCAAAAUUUUCAAUAUGUGGUUUCAUUUUAAUAAUUUCUGCUUGGCAGAUAAUGUGUAUCAGUAUCAACACAUAUGGCGGAGGAAAAGUUGAUAUUGAUUUCUUUUCUCCUGAGUGGAAAUGCAGAUGACUUUAACUUUGUCCCAGCACCUUAUGAGUGCACCUCCUUAAGGAUGAACAAACAUUACAUAACAGGAUUUUCUAGAAAGUCCCAGUCAGGUUUGCUGCUGUACAAGUUUGUAACUUUUCAAUUUCUGAAGACAAAAAUAUUUAGAAUACAAAAAAUUCCAAACUGUGCUUGUUUCUAUACAAGUUAACUGAAAGUUAGAAAAAUUUUAUCAUGUGUUUACAUUUGAUAAGAUAUUUAAUGCAGUUGGAUUUGCACGCUCUUCUCCAAUUUGAAUACAGGUACUUUAGUAAAUUUAGAUCUGAAAUUUUUUUUAACAUAGAAAUCAAUAUUUUUGUAGUCAUUUAACAUCUGCAUUUCACUUGGUGUUAAGUAUAAUAAAAGGCAUUUUAAUUGUUUGAUGAAACACAAUAUGGUGAACACCCAUUUCUCACACUAACUACAUCCUCAGUUUGUAUGACACUAGGAGUUGAAGCUUCUUCACUAUAGAUCCAUUUCCACUGUUCUUGACAUUUUUCUCAAAAGCAGGAAAAGAACAAUAAAACUCAGAUCUUUUCAUUUACAAGUAGAGGGAGACUGAAUCCUAUGGCACAGUUGUACAAUUUAUGGUAGAGGGGGAGAGCCAGUACAGAGUUAACAGUGUUGUGGAUUAAGUUCAGACAUGGUCAGUGCCUGGUGGGUUUAUUGGAAAAUAAUUACUUGGAACUAAUUUGGCAUCCAAUCAAGCUGUCUAAGUAUUUCCUGAAAUUUUAUGGUACUUAAGCAGUAGAAAUCUUUUCAGUGACAUCAGAGACAUCUAAGAAGUCUUUGAUUUAGCUAUUAAGAUCAUGUUGUAAAUUUGUUGAAAUUUUUCAUAAAGGAAAAUUCACAGUUGAUUACAAAUGGCAAUGCACCUGAUCUGCAAAUGUAAUCUUUGAAAUUGAAUUUGAUACUAGGAAUUUGUAACUUUGUCAGUGUACAAAUCUCUUUGCCAGAAUUUGCAUAUUUAUCACAUGUUAAUAUUUUCACCUUGAGCUAAUAUGGGUAAUAUAUGAUCAAAGUGAUCAAUGAUGAUGAAUUUUCUGUGGUAAGGUUUAUAACAGAUUAACCUUGGUAUUGUAUGGUAUAUAAAUCAGACAAAACUUGCUAAUUUGAUACAUUGUUCUCAAUUAGUGAUUGAUUUCUAAUUAUCUGAAACCACAUCUACAGACUGAAUUUCAGGAAAAUGCAGAUUUUAACAAUAUUAUUUCAUAUUGCACUGUAAUAUAAUCAUUUGCAUGUAUUCAUCCGUGAAAAAAAUCACCUCCUUUGCAUUUGAUUUGAUUUUAUACUGCUUGAUUUCACAAUCUAGCAGGACUUAUUGAAAACUGUUUUACCCAAUAUUUGACAGAGAAAUUAAGCUGGGGGGCUGUUAGUCAUAAGGUUAGUUGACCAUAAUCCAGGAGUAGUGGCCCCAAGGUAAAACACGUACAUCUGUCAGGAUCUUGCAUGAUUAAUCAUCAGCUCAUCACUGUUAACAGAAUGCCCUCGUCUUUGACAGCUUGUAGGACAUCUUCAUUAUCAUUAGCUGGAUAAUGAGGCACUUUUGAACACAAAACACAGCUGUAGAUUCCUAUGAUAUAUGAAAUUUUCAUUUCGUAUUAAACUUGUGUAGAAUCUGUAUACUCUAGAUGAUAAACAGGUAAAUAUAUAAAGUAAAGAAAAAACACCACUCCACCCACUGAAGGGUUUUUAGGAAAUACUAUUCAUAAGUUAUAAUCUGUCCUCUUGCACUUUACCUUUAGAAUGUCUCCUGAGAUCUGGAGGGCUUCCCCUUAUGUCUAAAUUUACAUGUAGCUGUAGAAGCUCAAGUUUUUUAACCCUACAACUGUUCAAGCAGUUUCUCAAAGUUUGGAAAAAUCUUAAGAAUUGCUAAUGAUAAUUUUGUCGAGGCAUGAGAAAUUUCUCUAAUUUUCUGAGGAAAUAUGAAUUGUUGGUGUUUGUUUUUGUCAUAAAACUAAGGAAUAUGUUUAGACAGAACUAUUUAUUUAUCUUCAAAGUAACACAUAAUAUUAGAAUCAAAAGAAAACACAAGUGUGCUGAUGUUUCAUUUAAGAUAUGUUGGUUAGGCACUGGAAAAUUAUUAAUAACAAGUAUCUCUGUAAUUAUUUUGUCGAAGGUGUACAAACUUCCUAACUUGAGGUAUAAAAACACUUCAGGAUGAUAGCAUCAUAGUAAUAGAGACUCAUGUUUAUAAACAGUUACUCAAAUAUCUCUGUACUUGAAGCUUAUGUUUGACAGUUAAUUGGUAGAAACUGAAAAGAAACUCUGGUGUUUGUCUGUCCCAUUUUCACUAGCAGCACUCUAUAUUUCUAGAUUACAUUUUUGGCCUUGCAGUAAAUCGUUUUGAAUUUUUGCUUUAUUUCUUAAAGACAGGGAAGUUAUAAAAGAGAAGAAUAUAUAUAUAUAUAUAUAUAUAUAUAUAUAUAUAUAUAUAUAUUAUUUAUUUUAAUAAGAACUUAUCUCCAUACAAUAACAACAGAAUUAUAUCCUACUGCAAAAAAAAAAUGUGCACCUCAAAAAGCAAGACAUUUCUAUUAUGAAUUAUUGAUGCAUUGAAAGUUCUAAAAAUGCUUUUUCAAUAAUGGGUAUAAUAUAUGUUCAAUGAAUCAAGUGUUUGUAAAAAAUGGCCCAAUUUUCUGGCUGCUUAACCAUACUAGUUGAGCUAAUACCAAUAAUCGAAUGAUUGGCAUAAUCUGGUUGAAGAGGGAGAGGUUUGGUAAAACAGAUUUUCCCAUAUGGACCAUUGACUUGUUGUAGCAUUGUAUCCCGAUUAAGGGGCUUUUUUUUGAGUGGAGAUUGGACUAGCAGUCUCAAUAAGCCUUGCCACCUAGGGGUUCUGCCUAAUUGGGUUCAGCAAGUUGAAUGUAUUUCAUAAUGUUGUGUGACAGGUCCAAAAGAUUUUUUUUAUGAACAUCACAUUAAUUUUUGUGGGGAUGUUUUUAGUUUUUGAAGUGUGAAGCAGACUUCUGUAAAACUACUAUGCUAUUGACAUUUUUUAUUGUUCACUACGGGCGGUAAUAACCGAAUGGUCAACCAGUCAGGGAGCACGCACUGGGGCCCACUACAUGGGGGCCGCCCCCUCACCCACCCAAAUCACGCACUCUAUUGAUCCUAAACCUGUUCACAUAAACUUGAGAUAAACGUUACAGUAAGACCCCACAAGUCAGUAGAAAAAAUCAAUUUACCUCUCUAGACUGAAAGCAAAGUGAUGCAAGUUCGUAGAAAAUGGUUUUAAAAAUUUGCAACAUGUUUCACAUAUCUUGCAUAAUAUUGUAAAUUAAUAUAGCAUUAAUAUCUCCAUUCUGGCAUUAAUUUUAUCUUUUUAUUGCAGUGAAAAUAUUGACUGCUUAAGAUUCUCAUUUAGUUUCAUUAUUUAAACUGACUCCUGAAUAUGAGCAAGAAGCAAAAGGCAAGACACCAAUGUAAAGGCCUCUGUAUGUGUAAUUCGGUACAAUUUCUUCUAUUUAAGCUUGACUUUGAUUAAUUUGUUAAUGUGCAAAGAAUGGGGAGUAAAGUUUCAGUCGUGAAACACUGUGUCUAAUAAUCGAGUCAACUCUUGAUGUAUAGCAUUUCAUUUUUCAUUUUUGAUAAAGAAUGGAAGUAGGGAGGUCAAAUUAACAUAAUACAUGUCGUAUAGCACUGCAUGAUUGACUGUCUCGCUGUUCACCCAGUAAAGAGAAUUCUAAGUUGUAUCAGAUGGUACCAUUUGCGAACCAUUUGUUGCUGUAUAAGGGUCUAGUAACCCUAGGCUAUCGUAAGGCAUACCGCGUGGACAGAAUCAAAUAACAGGCUUUCUACUAACAUGUUGGAGCAAAGAUUUUUAAACUGCGGACUUUAUAACAGUUCUUUGGAAGAAGUUCUUGGCGUACACUUUAUUUGGGAGGGGGGACACUGAUCAUGUGACGUUGCUUCGUUUUUAAUGAAUUUUCACUGUCCAACUGUCAUGUUAUAUUAAGUCUUUGUUCAGAGUGUAUCGACAUCAAAGGCUACACCUUUCACGUGAUUCGUGAUCUAUUAUAAGAUUCAUAUAUAAUAGGUAAACGGAAGGUAAUAUUCAUUUAUUGUGCGUCUGCUUUCAAAAUUUAUCUCAAUUGAAUUUACAAAGCAGAGAAAAGAAAUUCACUGCGCAUCUUCGGUUUCAGUUUUUGAACCCGUAGAAAGUUAUUUUUUUCCACAAUCCAGUUGCUUACCUAGUAGAUGUAUAGGGAAGAUAAGAAGAAUAGAAAGUAUUAAAAGUACCCGUCUCUUAUGUUACAUCAGAUUAGUGGAUGAUACCAUUGUAAGGGGUAUAUAAUGACAGAGGAAGAUAGAAGUUGAGGAAUCUAAUUGGAUAAGUGUUGUAUCAUGUAACAGGAAUGUCUUAUAGCUCUCUCGGGUAUCUAGUGAUCUGUGAUUAACACGUUGGGAUCUAGAUGACGGGGGUUUGGUAGCAGAUUAGCAGCACUUAGUCCGUAUAUUGCCGUCAGAAUGGGCAGGUAUCAAGUGGAAGAGCCUAAUACCCAGCAAUAGAGAUGCCUUACUGGGAUGUUUUAUUAACGACUGAGGAACACGCCGACCAUCCGCCAGUCCUAGCCGGAAUAAUAAAAUCGUAGUUUGACGUCCACUGAAUUUUCUUGCUGUAACCUUGAUUUCUAGGUUUCUAUGUCGACUCUUGGGUUGGGUUAAUAAUUAACCAGCAAAUAGAAUACUAAAUUCAUAAAAUGCAUUUAGGAAAUAUUUCAGGUUUUAAUUUUUGUUCAUGCAUCCUCAUUAAUAUGUAGAUUAGCUGUCCCCGAUUGACAGAGUGUGAUUGGUAUAAAGACAGCUUUUGUUUUAUAUGGGUUAAAAUCUUGACUGCAUCUCUGUAGCAUUUUGUAACAAUUCAUCAUAUUGAUGACUUCUAGCAUUUUAUUACUUUCUUUAAUGACUUUUUAACACCAGUUUUUCAAUCAUCAAACACCUGACACAAAACAUUUAAAACAGAAUUUUUGUGGUAAUUUUGUGACAAAGUCCAGUUAAACAAACAAACGAACAGUCAAUUUACUCCAGUACAUAGCGCAACAACAACGGGGGAAAAAUUGAUACAUUCAAAUUUCAAAGGCAAGAGUAAAUUACUUUUGAAAAUUAAUGAAAUAUGUAAUAAUAUCCGAUCUUCGCUUGCUAACUGAAAUCUAACCGAAAGAUCUCAAGAGAAUCACUUUCAUGUAAACAUACAAAACUUGUAAAGACUACGAAAUAGAAAAUUGGGUACAAUAGAUCAGGGGAGAUUAAACUUUGGGAGACAACAAAAGACAUCAAUUAAACGGAGAUGGUAUUGUUGAAAAACGAUGACCAGAAAAUAAUACCAGGUACUCAUCUUACUCUUGAUGGAACCCUCUCUGCAGUUCUCAACGGGUAAUGAUAGGCUUCCGUGGCCACGGUUUUUAAUUUUAAUGGGAUCAUCAAACCCAGACCCAUCCAUUUGCCAAGCCAGCGAGAGCGCUUUCCAGAUAAACGGGAUCAGAAAAUAUCAUAUGGGGGUACUUGAAUGAGUUAUCACUCGUAAGAAAAGGUUAAAUAAGAAAAAGAACAUUAAAUGUUUAGGGGAUUUGAGAGGUAGCUCCCAGGUGUUCAGUGACCACACAUGUGAUAAUGACGUCAGGACCUCCUUACAUAUACCUGUCGCGGUGUGCAUAGCGCGUACAUCACCGUAGACGGUCGUUAUUAUUUGCAAAAAUUGCACCGCGUGUCCCCAGCAUUGUGAAAGUAGAAAAUGAAAUUUCUGGCCCGUAGUUGGAGAUUGGAAAAUAUGGUACCGAGCAAGAUGUAUUUUGUGUUAUAUUUAUUUUUAUUUUAUUUUUUAGUCUUGUCUAUGACGUUUAGAAAAUACAAGGAUAAUACAUGAAGGCUAUUUUCCCUAUAGUCAAUGACAUGUAAACUUCAAGAAAAGUUCUUCCACUCCCCCCAUCUACAGAACAUGUCCAAAAAAAACCCUUUAGGAGGUUUUUUGGGGGGGAUAGACGUCGGUAGACGUUGACUUCUAUCUAGGUUUGUAUCAAGUUGACCUGCCCUUGAUAAAGUGUAAUGUUUUACAUACAAAAUAUUUAAUCUUGAAAACCCACAAGUGAAGACAGGAGAACAGACAUUGUCAGGCCCUAUUAGUGGAGAAGAUUUAUCAUGAUUUGGCUGCUGGCUCCUGGGAGACACGGGAUGAGGAAUGCCAUUCCGCUGCAUCAGUCCCUCAGACGUGACACGAUAGCAUGCUCAAAGUCCUCGAUACUCCAGACAAAAUCUGCUAGAUCUCUUGACUUUUAAAGAUAAUUUUGUGUCAUGAUGCAUUUGUUAUCCUAGGAGAAGUAUACGUGCGGUGCAUUUUUUGUGGGAUUUUAAACGUCUUUAUGGCUUCUAAAAAAAUAAAAUAAAAUAAUGAAAUUUGAAAUGUUUAAAAUCCAUUCUAGCGCUAGAUCUAGUCGGUGGAGAUUUUUUUCUCUGGGACAUAUAUGUGAUUAGUAUAUAGAUUUCGGACUAGUUUGUUUGUACCAGACAGAUGUUUUAUUUUGCUUAUCAAACGCUAGCUUGGAGAAAUGUUUUGUAACAUUUUCCCACAAUUUAUGUCAUGAAAAAUCCGAUUUGAUCAAAUUUCAACGCAGUUUCCCAACUUCUUUUAUGAUAGUAUUUCAACAUUCCGAUGAACUGCAAAUUUAUUUAAUAUCAAGCUAGAUAUCAAUAUUGGGGUUUUCCAAGAUAAGUUUAAGACUUACGUCUGACCAUGAAUCGUUAUCUGCACAUGUCUAUUCGGUUAGAUCUUUGGUACUGUGUAAAUAUUUGUCAAGUGUCAUUGACUGUAUUGAUAUAUUUAUCUGUUAAAUAGAUCCAAGUUUUUAUUUGUUGAAUUAGCUUAUUGAUUUUGUUGAAAUUUUAUCGUUUUUCCUUCAGCAUUCAAAUCCAAAAAUUAUUCCAACCGAUAUGUUAAGGGUUUGUUAACAAGAAAUUUGUCUUCGAUUGCAAAAACAGAAUACUUAAAUAUCUUUACUUAGUUCUUCCAAUUAUAUGUGCUGUAAUAACUGUAUGUGGUUUCUUUACAGUAUGAAAGAGAUAAAUCAGGAACAUCCUUUAACACAAAACUGGUUUUCAUAAUGGUUUGAGAUUGUGUUAGAUUCUGAGAUCAUUGUGAAAACUGAUUUUGUAACCACAAUCAUCUAUAACAGUGUCAUCUUGCCACUACCAACGUCAAACGUGGUCCACUUCAACAAUUUAUGCUGAUGUCGACUUCAGUGGAGAAGUGACUGACCUCUCCACGGACUGCUACCCAGGUCACUUUUUUGUGAAUAAAUUUAUAAGCAUAAUUGAAAUGUUUUGUCAUAAUUUUUGUGUAUGUGACAUGUCAGCAGUCAAAAUGAAAUGCGUGCGGGAUGUUUGAAAAGACAUGAUUAAUUUAAAAUCGGUAAAUAUGCCGAAUUGUUUUCACGAAAUUCCACAAAGCGUAUAGAAGCAACGCUUACUGUUACGGACGAUACUCGGUUCCCUGCAUCUACAAUUGAUCAGUCCUUGGGAUGUUUGAUCAAAACCACAACAUGUGAACCACAUUUGCGGGAGUCCCUGUCCAAAGGGUGUUUGAAAACAAGCUGCAAAUCAUGUGCACGAUGAAAUCGAGUGUAACCCAUUAAUUAAAAAAAAUCUUCAUUUUAAAUACAUGUAACAUGUAUGGGGAUGACUUUCGUACUAGUAUAUAAUUAUUCAUAAAGUAUGUUAUACCAGAGCUUGUUAGGAAGGGUUGCACAAAUGAUUCCCGUAUAUCAGUAGCUGAUCCAGUCCAUUUCAAAGAUUUGUCCAUGCAUUUUCGCAAGUCUCCGCCAAAGUCAGGCGGACAGGAAUGUUCUUGACCUAUUCUUAUUACCUCGAAGCAUUGAAUCAGUAUUGUAUAUCAAAUUGUUUGUCGUGUCAAAGAAUAUGAAUACACCAACUAAAUGGUUCAGAUCUGGAGGUUAUAAAACUUUUACCAUACUCAAACUCGGCCAUGUUUUUGGGUUUUUUUUUUUAGUACCGCUCUGAACAAGCUUCGAAAAAAGUUGAGCAUGUACUCCAUUUGAGUGCGAGAAUGAUUUCAUAAAAGUUUUAUAAUAUCACUUUUGAGUAUGAAUUCGAAUUGGAUCACAGAGUUUGAGUUUGAAAACGUGCUCGAAAAAAUGUUUUAUAACCGCCAGGCCAGGUCUUGGUGCAUUAUGGAGAAUACCGAAGUUCCGAAAAAAUGAAAGUUUUCCUAGAUGAAAGAUGAAGAUAACGAACAGUGAUCAAUCUCGUAACUCCUGUAAGGAAUGCAUAAUUAAGAAGGUAUAUUACAUCGUCAAUAAUGACCGACUUCCUUUUAAAACAUGGAUAAAAAUAUAAAUACCAGCAAUAUUUGUCUAUUCCUGUUGUAUUUAAAUGCCUAGCUUGGUAGUUGAUCCGUAGAUUUCGGGUUCGAGUCCAGCAGGUUUUUUUUUUUAUUCAUUUUACUUUCUACCAAAACUCCAUUUUUGGACUAAAUGAAUUAAGUGAGUUUGAAAGUUUUCAAUUUCAAACUGUUGUUCAGAUCAUCCAUUUUUCAUCCACAUCAAUUUUCUCUGGUGUUGCGUUCCUCCUUAAAGCAAUACAAUCUAUAACUGACGGUAAAUAAAUUGAGAAAUAGAACAAAUAUUUAGUAUAUUUGUGAUCGAAUAUAUAUAACUUCGUUGAAUAAGGGUGAAUCUGAAAUAAUAAACCCGUCAAAUCAGCAGAAAAUGUCGAUUCACGAAUCAUUGUCAUUCUGUCAGUGUCAGUAAUUCCUGUUCGUAUGAAACGCUCACUGUAGGUGUGCUUUCAAACAAUAUAUUCCCUUGUCUAUUUUGCUGAAUUUUUCUUCAGAUCAGUCAGUUUUUAAAUCGAGGCAGGUUACUGACAAACAAGUUGAUGGUGCAAGGCUUUCAACAGUCUCGUUCAAAGUCCGCAUUUCGCAAAUUGUAUGGUAGUUAUAACGAUCUAGUUUGCCAAUUCAACCUAUCGUUGGGUCAAAUGCUGUCUGACUUGUUUCAUACCGAUUGUUAGGCCGUUCUUGGCACACUGAUUUUGACUACGGAUAACUCCGUUUAGCUGAUCAAGAUAUAGGGCUCAUGGCGGGUGUGACCGGUCGACAGAGGAUGCUUGCUCCUAGACACCUGAUCCCACCUCUGGUAUAGGAAGGGGUCCGUGUUUGUCCAACUCUCUAUUUUGUACUGCUUAUAGGAGUUAUGAGAUUGAUCACUGUUAUCUUCACCUUUCAUUUUGGGGAUCAUAAUAGUUACACCGAAAGGUGUUAAUUGAUGCAUAAUUGGAUAGUUGAAACAAUACCAUCGGUUACAGCUUGUAUUGCUUUAAAGGGGCAUGGACACAAUUUGAGCUGAACAUUUUCAAAUUGUUUGAUGUGAAGAAUGCUUAUGUAAGGUAUUUCUGAUGGUCAACCAUUUGAAUGUCAGUUGUCGAGGUGUAUGGGAGAUAUACAGAGCUCCCAAUCAUUUCUUCUGUAGACGUGGCUCGUUUCGUGUUUUUGUUUACAUAGGUGAAAUAUACUUGUAAAGGUUUCGUUAAAAUCAAACGUUUCCAAUUUCGAAGUUAAUUCUGAACACAAUAAAAUAGUUUCUCGUGUUUGGCAAAUCUCAUUUGUUUUAAACAUGCUUUUUUCUAUAAAGCAGUUUACAUGUAAAGAAAAACAUGGCACGAGACUACGAAUUGGGAAUGCCGUAACUCAAAUUUUGAUUGACCAUUAGAAAUACUUUAGUCAAGCAUUGUAAACAAUGAAAAUGGGAAAAAUAAAAUUUGAAAAUGUUCAUCUCAAAUCGUGUCCAUGCCCCUUAAGAGUUGGGCAAACACAGACUCUUGAAUAUGCCAGAGGUGGGAUCAUGUGCAUAGGGGUAGAUCCUUCGAAAGAGAAAUGAUGCAUGAAACCUUUUACAUGCAUCAAUAGUGGACACAGCAAGCAUGAAGCUGCAAUUGGUUUUAUUGAAGUAAAUUGAAAGCAAAGCAUAUUCCUACUUUCAUUUUAGUAAACAUUUGUUUUCCCUUUAUGUAGAUCUCCAUCGAUGUUUCUGAAAUAUUUUAACCAUCAUUACUUGUGCUCUUAAAGCAUUUAAAAAUGUUAUAUUUGUUGGAAGUUUGAGCAUUGUUUUGUUAUUUGAAAAAUGAAGCUGUAAAGUGUGGCCGAUAGACAAAUGUUCUCUCUGUUCGUGAAAUGACAACAUGUUGCAGAGGGUUGGAAAUUGGGCCAGAACAUGUCAAAGAAACUGAGAUAGUUUUAUUUUUGCGGUAAUACAUUAUGCAAUGACCUGGCUAUCGUAUUUUUGUCUAGUCUAUUGCGAGCGUUCUAGAUAUCAAAUGUCAUUCCAAAGGCAAGAAGAGGACAUCGCAAUGGCAAGUCUCGGUGUGUUUUAUGUAGAUGCAUGCAGUCAAGGUUAAGUCACAGGGUACACAUGUCCAUCGAACUUAUCUAUUGCUAGAUUUUUAAAAUUUAUUUUCACUGAAGCGUUUGAAGUAAAUUCCUUAGUGACUGUAUUUUCGUAUUGCCUCUAGACAUAGGGAAGUAAACUACCCUUUUUUUUUUUGCGUCGGAGUUAAAAUAGUCUCUUUCAACCAGACACUCGACUGGUUUUCUAUUUCCAACAAGCGAAAAAUUAGUAGAUUCGCACAAUUGUGAUGUCAUAACGAGCCUUACCAAAAUUCUUAUGUGCAAUCUGAUUAAGAACACGCCUCCAAAACAACUAAAGAUUCCCUAACUACUAAAUUGAGUUAACCCUUCAAACUAAAAGAUUUGCAAGUAAAACUACAAGUAUAGUAAGCAGGAAAUAUGGUUUGUAGUACUACUGACAAAUAUGGAAUGGCUGUACACCAUUUUCCAAAAUUAUGGGUAGCCAAAGUAAAAUAGGCUUCAUAGCUGGCCCCAUCAUUAUAUGGUCAUGUUUUCUUUAGCAUGGUUAAUGAAAGGCCAGAUUAUGAAUAUAAGAUAUUUAGGCAUUGCUGAUUUGAAUACAUGUUUAAAAAGUGAUCACAACUGAUAUCUAGAGUCUUGACCGGACUCGCGCUCGUUGAAGUUUUUGGAAUCAGGCCCGGGUUUGUUGAACGAGAUCAGAGCCAGCGCUGCGUGGCCGCCCCAUCCCACACACCCUUUUUCGUAAAGAAUAAUGUGUUGUAAUCGAUAUUAGAUAUUAUCACAAAUAUGAUCCAUAGUUUUCGUAGAAAUAUGUCCACUAAAAUACUUGCUUCGUUAUUGGGUAUUUUAUUGAAUAUAGAUGUUAAUGGUAAACUAACAACUCAACUUUAUGACAAACGGGAUGAUUUCAGCUUCUCCAUCGUUAACCUCCUAUAUUUAUGUAGCAAUAUUCCAUUGUCACCUGUAUGUGGUGUUCAUGUCUUUUAACUGGUUCGUUAUGCAAGAGCUUGUUCUGCAUAUGAUCAAUAUUUAAAUCGAGACAGCCUGCUGAUAAACAAGUUGGGUUGACAGGGGUUUCAACAAAUGAUCAUUAUAACGAUAUACUUUGCCAAUACAAACCAUCAUUGGGUGAAAUGAUGUCCGACGUGUUUCAUACCAAUUGUUAGGCCGUUCUUUACACACUGAUUUUGUCUGCGUAUUACUCCGUUUACUCGAUCGAAAUAUAGGGCGGGUGUGACCAGUCGACAGGGGAUGCUUAUUCCUCCUCGACACCUGAUCCCACCCGUGUUUGCCCAUCUCUAAUUUUGUAUUCCCUAUAGGAGUUAAUAGAAUUGUCACUGUUCACUACCUUCACCUUUCCAUCCCACCUCUAGUAUAUCUAAGGGUCCGUGUUUGCCCAACUCUAAUUUUGUAUUUCUUAUAGGAGUUAUGAGAUUGAUCGCUGUUCAUUACCUUCACCUUUGCACACGUCUUGUUUUUGUCAUGUAGUUGCUUCAGGGUGUUUCGCUCCCAGCCCCCCUCCCCUACCCCAUAGUUUUGCCCUGGAGGAUUCAAAACAGCCCCUCAUUAAAAAAUUCCUGGAUUCGUCACUGGAGAUUAUUGAAUAACCAAGUGGUCAAAGAUAUUGGAGGAGGUAGAAGGUUUGGAACUGGUUCCAUGACAAAGAAAUAUAUUUUCAGUUCUAAAAUGACUGAAAUAUUGCCAAAAUGGCGUAAAACCGUAAUCAAUCAACCAACCAAUAUAUUACAUUACUAAAGGUAAUUUUUUACUUGUAUUUCUUUUCGCGUUGAUACAAUGAUGUAUUUAUUCACGAGACAUAACUUUUGCGAAUCGUUGUUAAUUGUUUUUAAAGUCUUCUAUAUCUAAGAGUUUAUUAGCGAUAAUUAAAAUUUCGCGAAUGUUUAGUCUCGCGUAAUUACGCCUAAAAUAAAGUUCUCACGAAUACAAUGCUAUUUACAGUUGGCCUAUAUCUAGUACCGAUCGAGGUCCCGUGUCGCAGCAGGUGUAGCACGAUAAAGAUCCCUCCCUGUUCAAUGGCCAUAAGCGCCGAACAUAGGCCUAAAUUUUGCAACCCUUCACCGGCAGUGGUGACGUCUCCAUAUGAGUGAAAUAUUCUCUAGAGGGACGUAAAACAAUAUUCAAUCAAUCAAUCGAAUAUCGCAACGUUUGACAUACAAUAAUUUUCUCACCUUAACGAAUAGUAACCUUUUACAGAUUAACAGGAUACACUUCAAACGAUUCAGUACCACGAGAAUGCGUGUAUAUGUAUGUAGGUUAUAUGCUCGAAUUUAAAGGUUUCUUAUGUAUAUGGUGUGACAAAAUACUCGGAUAUAUCACUUGUGGAACGUGAACUAGUCCUUAAUGCGUAUAUAAAUGAACCACUUGUAAACGUUGCUGAAAUCAUUCAAAUGAAUAAAGAAAAUCUUAGUGUGUUGUUUAUAUAUGAAUGAUCAUUGAUGCUUCAACUUCAUUACUGAAUGUCAAGGUUUUUGAAAAUACAGAAAUUACUAAUAUGUCAGGGAUUUUUUUUUUUUUAUUUUUUUUUUUUGGACCAAAAAAUAUAAUAUAUAUAUGGAUUUCCCCUUUGAAUUUUGCAAAACGAGAGCUGAAAAUUUCCGGAAAUCGAAAACGAUAAUGCAUAAAAACAAAUAUUAAACAACGCGUGUGUCGGCGUAAUUUAGUUCAAUAAUUAUACUAAUCAAAUACCCUGUGAUAUGUGGUGCAGCGGGACGACCCUCCGACAACGGUCAGUAUAUUUAUCAACCUACUGCGAAAUGAUUUAGAUAUAUAUAUGUAUGUAUGUAUUUUGUAUUUUGGUUCCCAAGAAAUAAAAAUUAAGAAGAUAUGAC